GGGGGAUAAUUUAUCUUAAGUAAUUUCUGCCCGGUGAACUAAAGUUUAAACGGCCGCAGUACCCUGACUGUGCAAAGGUAGCAUAAUCCUUUGACAUUUAAUUGGUGUCUAGAAUGAAUGGAUUGACGAGAAAAUAGUUUUAUUCUUUUAGAAAUUGAAAUUAAUGUUCAUGUGAAAAAGCGUGAAUAGACUCGAAAGACGAGAAGACCCUACUGAGCUUUGAGAAGAGUUUUAGUAAAUAAAAGUAUUCUUUUAACUGGGGCAGUUGAGGAGCAAAAGAAUCUCCUUAAUAAAUUAAAGACUUCAAGUCAUUUAAAGGAACCUAUAGAGAUCAUUGAGUACAAGCUACCAUAGGGAUAACAGACUAAUCUUUUCAGAGAGAUCAAAUUGAUGAAAAGGAUUGGCACCUCGAUGUUGGCUUAGGAAAACAUUUUGUUGCAGCAGGCAAAAUAGUUGGUUUGUUCAACC
This 468-nucleotide ribosomal RNA is filed under the name Bispira serrata. RNAcentral's name for it is "partial 16S ribosomal RNA". It matches the Rfam family "Bacterial large subunit ribosomal RNA", at positions 1833 to 2586 of the family's 2925-position model. Lineage: Eukaryota; Metazoa; Annelida; Polychaeta; Sabellida; Sabellidae. The record is from RNAcentral.